This is a long non-coding RNA of Anguilla rostrata (American eel), 3441 nucleotides long. RefSeq lists it as uncharacterized. The record is from RefSeq and is a predicted model, not a curated record. The transcript has 5 exons. Lineage: Eukaryota; Metazoa; Chordata; Actinopteri; Anguilliformes; Anguillidae.
CCUUGUACUAAACAAACAGAAGCUAUUCUCUCUGCCUUCCAAAAGGGACAAUCUCUCUCUCUAAAAGACAACCCCUUUACUUAUAAAUUAACCGAAAACAAAAUGAUCUUUCUUCUUUCAUUUUUUGUGGGAUAUUUUUGUUUAUCGUAUGGACAAUCCCCAGCACCAGAUAUAGUGGUAUCAACUGCUGCACCACUACCAGCUUCAGAUUCAGCUACUGCAGAUAUUCCAACUACCAUAAAAAUUACUCCAAAUCCUGAAACUGAAACUUCACCUUUUCCAGUCUUACUGCCAGUAGUUAUUGGACUGCGGGUGUCCGUCAAAUCCACGGUUGAACUUAAUUUUGUGACAAUUAAGCCAUUUCUACAACAGAUCGUAAAUUUUCUUUCACCAUAUCAUGGACCCUUUCAAAUCACUGUGAAAAAUAUAUCGCGCAUCACACCAACCUAAACAACAUUAAUAAUAACAGGAUAACAACACAGCAUUUGUAAUUAGUGUAAUGUAGUCAUGUGAAUUAAAUUGUAAUACAUUUUGUUUUUUAUUUAUGCAAAUCAAAAUAUUAAUAACACAUUAUUGCCUUACUACUGCAUACAUUAUUAUAUUGGCUAUAUGUUUUUAUACAUUCAUUUAUAUAGUAUAAGGUAGGCUCAAAAUGACUAAUUUUAUUUUAUGACCCACUGUCAAACAUGCUAAAUCAUAAAUUACAGAAAUAAUGGGCUUGAUACAAAAUCAUAUGUAAAUUGGACAGACUCCAUUAUUAUAAGAAACUGUAUAAUGUCUACAUUCUACUUGCUAUGAACAUACCCUUUUUCUUUCUUUUUUUGUGGCCACAAAAAAUGUAAUUCCAGGAUGACUAGACCAUCAGCUCCUGUCAUUAUUGUUUCUUUUGGGUGUGUCCUAGUCAUCCAACAAUGAACACAAUUCAUGCUCACUGAAAUGGAAAUUCAACUACAUGUAAAAAGAUCAAUCCCAAAGCAAUCUCCAGACAAUUGAGUAUCUUUAUAGGCUAAACCAUUUUCAAACUUAAAAACAAUUAUUGAAUAUGGCUCUAUAUGAAAUGUAGUUUUAAUAUGUUUAUUUCUUCUAUCCUGUCAGGAGCAAAGUUAUUUUUUUUAUACAUUUGGAAUAACAUCCAUGAGUAUUUGGAGAAAAGAAACAAGACUACAUCAGUUCCUUUUAGGAAUGGUUGUGUGUGUUAAAUCUGGGACACGUUCAACAUUUUAGAUUGUGGUCACAUCCUUUUAACACCAUAUAUAUUUACUGAUUCAUUUUGUGAAUGCUGUCAUUUUUCUCUGCUUGUGUGUGCAUGGUCCAUAAAUUCAUUAUGUGUAAUAUGGUCUGUUGUAUUGCACAUAGCAAUGUAGGUCUAACUGUCUUGAUUAUGGAGGUGUGGUUAAAUGAACCACAGCUAAGAGGUUUUGGUGGGUGGUUACAUUAUUGCACAUGGUGAACAGAACACUAUCACUACCCUCUGAGGAAAAUCCAAGGGCCAAAACGUUUGCAUUUCAUUUUUGACCACCGUUUUUGUACCCGUGGGAGUGAAUAAAACUUGUUUUAAUCGCAUAUUCUGCACAUCUACAUUGUGUGGGUCUUUUUGUAACCGAACAAGUGAUUUCUACUGGCCUACACAGUAACCAACGCCAAAUUUUAUAGGGCGUGGUGAGUUUGUUAAUUUGCCCAAAUAUGCCGGUCACACUUUGGCAUUCAGCAUAUGUUCUUAUCUAGAGAAACACAGUUUCAGUUAUUUUUUUUCCUUUUUGGUGCCGUUAUACAGCUGGAUAAAUGCCAAAUAAAGGGUGCUCAAGUGUAUCUAACAGUAUCCAAUAUGGAAAGUGAAUGUAUGACUUAUGUUCAUUUCAAUUUGAGAAUUCACCUUUUCUUUCUUUCUUUCAAAAUUCUUCUUAUUGAAUUUCACAGGGUGGAACCUCACAGAUGGCAGUAGUCAAUGCCAUUAUUAAGCGAUGAUGGACAAAGCGUAUCCAGUUUAUCAUAUAUUAUGUUUACAUGGACAGUGCCAAUAAUAAUCAGCAAAUAUCUCAACAUGGCAUUUGUAAGAGAAAGUUUCAACAAAUAGUGGCAGAAAAAUGCAAAUAAGUUUAACCCAUUCAGUCGCACAGGCUUGUAUUCAGUUCAGAGUGGGUUUAUUUGCAUUCAUUCAAUUUUUUUACAGUGAAAUUUCCAACCAAUCUAGUCACAUGAUACGCUUUACUGUAUAUACUACUAUAUAAUCUAUUUUACACUGCCAAUGUUUUAAUGACAAUGGUUUCUAAUUUUGUAACAUGUGGGGUUCUCACCUUCUGUGCAUUUUGGAAAUCCACAGAUGACACAAUUCACAGUAAAACCAGUAUCCUUAUCAUGGCAAGGAUUUAGUGAACAAAAUCCAUAGUACGUUUAGUCCCAAAACAUUAACUCAAAGAAACAUUUAAUGUCUUGUUUACUUAGCAAUUCUCCAGAGGAAUUAUCAAUUUUGUCUGUUUUGCCAUUGCAUACACACCAGAAGUAUUGAGUACAUAGGAAUGUUAUUAUCUCCAGUUUGUAUAGACACUCUGAAAUAAGUGGCAUGCUAUUAUAGCAACGACAGUGAAUCAUUUUAACCAAUGACAAUGUUCCUUAAGGUGUAUUGGUUGUUAGGCUCACAUAAAAGACACGCAUUGUUUCUCCUGCGUAAAAAAACCAUAACCUUUUUGGCAUGCUGAAAAUGUUACACACUGGCAAAAAAGUCCUUGACACUUUACGCCUGAAAAGGCUGUGGUUUUACAACAAUAAUUUAUUUUGCAAUGCCUAAGUCUAAACAGAAGACUCGCCAUUUGGACACCUUGGAAGAAAUCACUCAUUGGAGUGAAUAUUUCUGAAGAGGACAGUGAAAACGGCUUUGACUCCACAGCAGAGGACAUGUUCAAUGAAGGACUUGAUCCCAUUUUAUAUUGGUGAGCAUCUAAAUAUAUUCUCAAAAUACUUUUUUGUUCAAUACACUUGUAAAUAAGGAGUAGGCCUGAUUCUGAAUAAUAAUUGUGGUGUGUGAAAUUGUGGGAUGUGUGUGACAUUAUACUUGUUCCUAUAGCACUUUCAUGUUACACAUUUACCUGUGCCACUUUCUUGUUACAUGUACCUCCAUCCAGCACUUAUAUUGUACUUUGUAUGAUUAUCUUGAUGUUGUAGCUUGUCAUGCCUCCUAGUUUUCCUUAGCAUAGGCUAGGUCAGAGAGUAAGGUUUACUGUGUGAACUGGACUUAAUGUGUUCAUGGCUAUGAAUAACUGUUACAAAAUGAGUAUUGUACCUUAUCAAACCUGUGCCUUGUAGUUAUUCCACUGACCUUCGGUAUGCACUUAUUGUACAUCGCUUUGGAAAGAAGUGUCUGCCAAAUAAAUGUAAUGUAACAUGUUGAUGGGGGUGGGGUAUUUGAAAUGCAGGGGGAAAGUCUUCCACAAGCAUACAGUAGUA